Molecule: long non-coding RNA, 1727 nt
Organism: Cyclopterus lumpus (lumpfish)
Lineage: Eukaryota; Metazoa; Chordata; Actinopteri; Perciformes; Cyclopteridae
Exons: 3
Source: RefSeq, a predicted model, not a curated record
UUUUCUGAAAAUAUGUGAUUAAUUGAAGAAAAAUGUAUCGAGAAGAGAACCAGGAAGUUGGGAAAACUAAUUAAUUUCUUUAAUUUAGUUCUGCUAUAAAAAAGAAAUGGUGCACAUAUUGUAACUUUGAUUUUCCUCCACUAGAUGGCAGCAGUUACUCAUGUCCUAAAGUCAGAGUUACACACAUUGAUUGGCAUGUUGUCAGGAAGUCAUCCCAGCAUGUGAAGCUGGUGUUUGGAGGAACUGAAAUGCAACAUGAUGGAUCUGUUCCCAGUGCUGCUGGUUAUUUGUCUCCCUUUGUCAAGGUAAACACUUCCUGACCAUCUCAACAGUAUUAUAUUGAAUACGGCGUCUGCCAGAGUUGUGGAGCAGUGGGUCCCUCAUCCUGGACUGGGUCCCUCAUCCUGGACUGGGUUCCUGGACUGGGUCCCUCAUCCUGGACUGGGCCCAGGCGUGUACGUGUCCCUGGGGGCACCGGCCUGUACAACAUCCCGAGUGCCAUGAAGGGAGAAAAUUACCUUGAAGAGGUCAAAGAUUACAGCCUCGUCACAGGAACCAACGCCAGUGAAACGGCUGCAAUGGGAGCGACGGUAAGCUGUGUUGUUAAACACAAGUUAAUGAGUCCAGUGCUCUGGUGUGUGUUCUUAAGAGAAGAACAGGGAACCAGCAGGGACCAGCUCCGCGAGGUGCAAUUAACCUCUGUGGGUGUUUAAUCAAGCUUGUAUUGUCGGUGCAGGUUAAAGCCAUUGUUUACUUUUCCUUCAUUUGCGUUCCAUGACGCUGGCGUGUGUAUCUAUGACAAAUCGUCCUCUUGUUCGGGAUUUAAUUGCACUAAAUGAAUGCAAAUGCAUGUAUUCCUUUACAUCCAUGCUUUAAGUGAAAUUGCCUCAUCAGAACACUUUUAAAAAGCCACAGCCAACCAUUUGACCCAUGGGCAUUAUUAUAAAACAAUACUGUGCUUGCACGCAGCGGCAACAGUUUGGGUCCCUCUGCACAAAUCGAGGGCCGUAAAGAAAAGUUUUUAAAUGGAGGCUGUUUUCUCUGCAGUUCGUCCCACCUCCAUGUUCUGCCCCAAGCAGGAGAUGGAACUGGAGACCCCCAACACAUUCAUCUGCUACGUGGACGACUUCCAGCCGCACACAGUCGACAUCACAACAUCCACCAACCGGCACCUCUAAAACUCACUAAUUAGAAAUAAAUAUUCCAGCACAUAACCCCCAUAAAACUGUAUUUCUAUGCUUUUUAUUUUGAUUACACAGAAGAUAUAUAAAAAGUUUGUUAGCGAGCUAGCUGUUUAUUAUAUUUCACGGACGGAUAUCACAGUGGUUUCAUUUAUUGGCAUCAAAGCCACAUAGCAAAUGUCCCAAAAUGUCAAACUAUUCCUCUAAGAAAAAGAAGAAUCCAUAGUUUCCAUUUCUAAAUCUGACAUAAAAAAGUGGACACAUUGUCUUUCAUUUGAGUUAUCUUUCUAAUAUGAUAUAAGAAAAGUGUUUCCCACAUUGUACCGCAAGUAUCAUGUUUUGUUGUCAUCUACAUUCAAGUUGAAGGUGUCCGUUCUGGAGUCGUGCACUGAGGGUCAAAGUGCACGCAAACCACAUUGAAACGAAAGGGAACCUUUCCGUGCACAUUAACCCUUCAUUCAUCACAGCGGCCUGUGUCGGCACAUAUGUCUCUGUGCGUAUGUCUCUGUGCAUAUGUCUCUGUGCAUAUGUCUCUGUGCGUAUGUC